Molecule: non-coding RNA, 69 nt
Organism: Rattus norvegicus (Norway rat)
Lineage: Eukaryota; Metazoa; Chordata; Mammalia; Rodentia; Muridae
Source: Rfam
GGGGAUUUGGCUUAGUGGUAGAGCGCUUGCCUAGCAAGCGCAAGGCCCUGGGUUCGGUCCCCAGCUCCG